This 292-nucleotide ribosomal RNA is filed under the name uncultured bacterium. Its description in RNAcentral is "partial 16S ribosomal RNA". It matches the Rfam family "Bacterial small subunit ribosomal RNA", at positions 505 to 796 of the family's 1533-position model. The record is from RNAcentral.
GUGCCAGCAGCCGCGGUAAUACGUAGGGGGCAAGCGUUGUCCGGAAUCAUUGGGCGUAAAGCGCGUGUAGGCGGCUGGCUAAGUCCGCUCUGAAAGCCCGGGGCUCAACCCCGGGAGGCGGGUGGAUACUGGCCAGCUCGAGUCCGGAAGAGGAGUGUGGAAUUCCUGGUGUAGCGGUGAAAUGCGCAGAUAUCAGGAGGAACACCAAUGGCGAAGGCAGCACUCUGGGACGGUACUGACGCUGAGACGCGAAAGCGUGGGGAGCAAACAGGAUUAGAUACCCUCGUAGUCC